RNAcentral lists this ribosomal RNA (882 nucleotides) under uncultured bacterium. Its description in RNAcentral is "bacterial SSU rRNA". It matches the Rfam family "Bacterial small subunit ribosomal RNA", at positions 508 to 1398 of the family's 1533-position model. The record is from RNAcentral.
CCAGCAGCCGCGGUAAUCGAGGGUGCAGCGAUAUCGGACUACUGGCGUAAGCGUACGUCAGUCUCAUUUAGUCAGAUGUGGAAAUCCAUAAGCUUAAAUAGGAACUGCAUUGGAAACUGAUUAGCUAGAGUCUUGUAGAGGAGUGUAGAAUUCCAGGUGUAGCGGUGAAAUGCGUAGAGAUCUGGAGGAAUGCCAGUGGCGAAGGCGACCCCCUGGACAGAGACUGACACUCAUGUACGAAAGCGUGAGGAGCAAACAGGAUUAGAUACCCUCGUAGUUCAUGCUGUAAACAAUGUCAAUUUGAAGGUUGUAGCCUUGAGUUAUAGCUUUCGUAGCUAACGCGUUAGAUUGACCGCCUGGGGAGUACGGCCGCAAGGUUAAAACUCAAAUGAAUUGACGGGGGCCCGCACAAGCGGUGGAGCAUGUGGUUUAAUUCGAUGCAACGCGAAAAACCUUACCUAUUCUUGACAUCCAAAGAAUAAAACAGAAAUGUUUUAGUGCCUUAGGGAACUUUGAGACAGGUGCUGCAUGGCUGUCGUCAGCUCGUGUUGUGAAAUGUUGGGUUAAGUCCCGCAACGAGCGCAACCCCUAUCCUUUGUUGCCAUCGAGUAAAGUCGGGAACUCAAAGGAGACUGCUGGUGAUGAACCGGAGGAAGGUGGGGACGACGUCAAGUCAUCAUGGCCCUUACGAAUAGGGCUACACACGUGCUACAAUGGCAUAUACAAAGAGAAGCGAUCUUGCAAAAGCUAGCAAAUCUCAUAAAGUAUGUCGUAGUUCGGAUUGGAGUCUGCAACUCGACUCCAUGAAGUCGGAAUCGCUAGUAAUCGUAGAUCAGAAUGCUACGGUGAAUACGUUCCCGGGCCUUGCACUCACCGCCCGUC